GAAUUGACGGGGGCCCGCACAAGCGGAGGAACAUGUGGUUUAAUUCGAUGAUACGCGAGGAACCUUACCCGGGCUUGAAUUGCAGAUGAAGGAUCCAGAGAUGGUGACGCCCUUCGGGGCAUCUGUGAAGGUGCUGCAUGGUUGUCGUCAGCUCGUGCCGUGAGGUGUCGGCUCAAGUGCCAUAACGAGCGCAACCCCUCUCUUCAGUUGCCAUCAGGUGAUGCUGGGCACUCUGGAGACACUGCCACCGCAAGGUGUGAGGAAGGUGGGGAUGACGUCAAAUCAGCACGGCCCUUACGUCCGGGGCUACACACGUGUUACAAUGGGGGGUACAGAAAGCCGGCUGCCCGCAAGGUCAGUCCAAUCAAGAAAGCCUCCCUCAGUUCGGACUGGGGUCUGCAACCCGACCCCACGAAGCUGGAUUCGCUAGUAAUCGCGCAUCAGCCAUGGCGCGGUGAAUACGUUCCCGGGCCUUGUACACACCG
RNAcentral lists this ribosomal RNA (485 nucleotides) under uncultured Prevotella sp. RNAcentral's name for it is "bacterial SSU rRNA". It matches the Rfam family "Bacterial small subunit ribosomal RNA", at positions 907 to 1392 of the family's 1533-position model. Lineage: Bacteria; Pseudomonadati; Bacteroidota; Bacteroidia; Bacteroidales; Prevotellaceae. The record is from RNAcentral.